Molecule: non-coding RNA, 540 nt
Organism: Bactrocera oleae (olive fruit fly)
Lineage: Eukaryota; Metazoa; Arthropoda; Insecta; Diptera; Tephritidae
Source: RefSeq, a predicted model, not a curated record
UGAGCCUGGAAACCUAGGUUGGUAGUAGAACCUUUGGCAUUCGUGGAAACAGCCUUGCGUUUGACAGAAAAUACAUUGGUUUGCGACGUCAUACAAUCGCUAUGACAGAUUGACAGUUUGUUUCAUUUAGGAUGUAGCGUAUAAUGUAGACUCUUGAAGUCGUCCAUCCAACAAUAAAAUGAAAAAAGUUAUAAAAAUUGUGCUUCAAAAUAGUGGUUGUAGCAUUAUAGAGAUAUCACAGGCUGUCAAUAUCGCUUGCGAGUCGGCUCAACGUAUUUCAGUAAAUGUUUUGGAAUUAAGAUACUUCUGAUUUCUUGAUAUGCGCUCUGGGUAACAUGACAUGUGUUUAUUAUCGCAAAAAGUAAUUCGCUGAAGCUUCUCAAGGACUACCCUAGAAGGUAUGUAUAUUAAAAUUUAUUAUGUUGGGAAGCUCUAUUGAGCUCAAAGACAGCCUAUUUCAAAUAAGAAACAUUAAAAAAUUCGAGCAAAAGCUUCAUUAUAAGCAAAUUAAAAAAAAAAAAUAGUUUAUAAUUAUUAAAU